Molecule: long non-coding RNA, 1388 nt
Organism: Drosophila montana
Lineage: Eukaryota; Metazoa; Arthropoda; Insecta; Diptera; Drosophilidae
Exons: 2
Source: RefSeq, a predicted model, not a curated record
UGCAAAGUUAUAAAAUGCAAUAGAUGUGCAAUCAAUCUACAAUUCAUAAAAGUUAGCUCGGCGAAACAAGCUGUGAAUUCUGCGAUGUAUUCAAUAAAAUUAAAUGUGAAAUUCUUAAUCUUGUUUAUUUACGCACUGGUGCAAAUUUGUUGUGGCAGUGUUCCAGCUAAAAACUUGAGUUGUGCCGCUGAUAAGGAGUUGGACAGGCAGUGUGAAACCUAUUGUUACCGUGUGGCUAAACCUCUCCUACAACACGCAUCUGACGUGUACUUAAAAGAACAAGAGUUUACAAAAUUACUGGCGAAAGUUCAACAACAAGAGAUCAUAAUCAAAAGCAUCCAAGCAGACCAAGCCAUUCUGCAAGCUAAACUUGAUGCUCAAAAUCAUUCAUUAACAUCAUGCCAAGGUCAGUUAGCCGAGAAAGAUGCGCUUAUCGAAAACAAGAAUUCUUAUAUCAAAGAAUUGCAAACUAAGCAAGAGAACAUAACCAACACCAUGCAAGUAGUUCAAGACAAUCUUCAAGAUAAAGUUGAUGCUCAAAAUCAUUCAUUAACAUUAUGCAAUGAUCUGUUAGCCACGAAAGAUGCGCUUAUCGAAUACAAGAAUUCUUAUAUCCAAGAAUUGCAAACUAAGCAAGAGAACAUAACCAAGACCAUGCAAGUAGUUCAACACAAUUUUCCAGCUAAAGUUGAUACUCAAAAUAAUUCAUUAACAUCAUGCCAAGGUCAGUUAGCCGAGAAAGAUGCGCUUAUCGAAAACAAGAAUUCUUAUAUCAAAGAAUUGCAAACUAAGCAAGAGAACAUAACCAAGAUCAUGCAAGUAGAUCAAGGCAAUCUUCAAGCUAAGGUUGAUGCUCAAAAUCAUUCAUUAACAUCAUGCAAAGGUCAGUUAGCCGUGAAAGAUGCGGUUAUCAAAAACAGGAAUUAUAAUAUCAAAAAAUUGCAAACUAAGCAAGAGAACAUAACCAAGACCAUGCAAGUAGAUCACGUCAAUCUUCAAGCUAAGGUUGAUGCUCAAAAUCAUUCAUCAACAUCAUGCAAAGGUCAGUUAGCCGAGAAAGAUGCGCUUAUCGAAUACAAGAAUGCUGAUAUCAUAGAAUUGCAAACUAGGCACGAGAACAUAACUAAGACCAUGCAAGUAGAUCAAAUAAAUCUUCAAGUUACGGUUGAUGUUCAAAAUCAUUCAUUAACAUUAUGCAAUGAUCUGUUAGCCACGAAAGUUGCGCUUAUCGAAUACAAGAAUGCUGAUAUCAUAGAAUUGCAAACUAGGCACGAGAACAUAACUAAGACCAUGCAAGUAGAUCAAAUAAAUCUUCAAGCUACGGUUGAUGUUCAAAAUCAUUCAUUAACAUUAUGCAAUGAUCUGUUAGCCACGAAAGAUGCGCUUAU